This 219-nucleotide ribosomal RNA is filed under the name uncultured bacterium. Its description in RNAcentral is "partial 16S ribosomal RNA". It matches the Rfam family "Bacterial small subunit ribosomal RNA", at positions 521 to 739 of the family's 1533-position model. The record is from RNAcentral.
UAAUACGAAGGGGGCUAGCGUUGUUCGGAAUUACUGGGCGUAAAGCGCGCGCAGGCGGUUCUUUAAGUCAGGGGUGAAAGCCCAGAGCUCAACUCUGGAACUGCCCUUGAAACUAGAGAACUUGGGUACGGGAGAGGUGAGUGGAAUUCCGAGUGUAGAGGUGAAAUUCGUAGAUAUUCGGAAGAACACCAGUGGCGAAGGCGGCUCACUGGCCCGUUA